GAACUCAGUACAACAUCAUUUUGCUGUUGACGCCAGAGAUAGUGGGGCAGUUUUUGUUCAAGACUGUUAUGCCUGCUAGUCGAGCAGCCAAUGCGACGAUCGGGUGGCUGCCGGCAAGACGACCUGGAACGGGGAAGGCCUUCACUGAAUGAAUAAUUCAAAAGGGCUAAUCCCGUGGCGAGCUUGCACAGGGCGACCUGUGCGAAGCCGUCGUAACGCACGGAAAGGCGUCGGUCGACUGCUGGUUUUGUGUAACAACAAAAGUUUGCAGCCGGCUUAAGGGACGUGCUAAACCCAUCCGAUGAUAAAGGAUGCCCCGGACACUAGGUCCCGAUCACCGAAGGUCCGGCGGGGGUGGAUGGGCGACUGGAGGAAAUGCCAGACUCGCUCGAGCGCCCGGUAUCAAUUG
This 409-nucleotide unclassified non-coding RNA is filed under the name Stichococcus bacillaris. RNAcentral describes it as "putative intron". The record is from RNAcentral. Lineage: Eukaryota; Viridiplantae; Chlorophyta; Trebouxiophyceae; Prasiolales; Stichococcaceae.